This 301-nucleotide ribosomal RNA is filed under the name uncultured bacterium. RNAcentral describes it as "partial 16S ribosomal RNA". It matches the Rfam family "Bacterial small subunit ribosomal RNA", at positions 509 to 807 of the family's 1533-position model. The record is from RNAcentral.
CAGCCGCCGCGGUAAUACGAAGGGUGCAAGCGUUAAUCGGAAUUACUGGGCGUAAAGCGUACGUAGGCGGCGAUCAAAGUCAGGCGUGAAAUUCCUGGGCUCAACCUGGGGGCUGCGCUUGAUACUUGGUUGCUUGAGUGGGGAAGAGGGUCGUGGAAUUCCCAGUGUAGAGGUGAAAUUCGUAGAUAUUGGGAAGAACACCGGUGGCGAAGGCGGCGACCUGGUUCAUGACUGACGCUGAGGCGCGAAAGCGUGGGGAGCAAACAGGAUUAGAUACCCCUGUAGUCCCUGUCUCUUAUAC